Long non-coding RNA from Pelodiscus sinensis (Chinese soft-shelled turtle), 470 nucleotides. RefSeq lists it as uncharacterized. The record is from RefSeq and is a predicted model, not a curated record. NCBI's taxonomy places the organism in Eukaryota, Metazoa, Chordata, Testudines, Trionychidae.
UCCAUAUGAUCUCUAAUUUGGGGUCUUUUCUCUCCAGCAACCUCGGGAUUUCAGCCAACCUUCAGCCAUGAAGAUUCUCUACCUUCUCUUUGCUGUCUUCCUCUUGGUGCUGCAAAGCUCCCCAGGAUUCACCCAGUUUAACACUGGGGACCGAGCAUGUGAAAGGGCUGCAGGUAAUUGUGCCCGUCAAUGUUACUACCCUUAUAAAAGGAUUGGAAUUUGCAGUCGUGGAAGGAUCUGCUGUAGACGGAGCCGGAUCAGAGUCUGAGCAUUAGCCUCAGAGAAGGUUUAUGGAGGAUUCCUGGGAAUCUGGCAGAGGAUGCCUGGCUUCUAAAGUCAUAGGACGCUUUUCUUCUGAGCUGCAAAGAACCUCGCAAACCUUAAAAUCCACAAGGGAGCCCUUGUGCCACCAAUAAUAGCUUCUUCUUCUCCUUUUCAUAAACAUAGCUGGUUGUAGUGCUGCAUCACAA